This 253-nucleotide ribosomal RNA is filed under the name uncultured bacterium. RNAcentral's name for it is "partial 16S ribosomal RNA". It matches the Rfam family "Bacterial small subunit ribosomal RNA", at positions 524 to 776 of the family's 1533-position model. The record is from RNAcentral.
UACGGAAGGGGCAAGCGUUGUUCGGAAUCAUUGGGCUUAAAGGGCGCGUAGGCGGGCCGCCGCGUCCGGGGUGAAAUCCUCCCGCUCAACGGGAGAACGGCCUCGGAUACGGGCGGCCUGGAGGGGGGUAGGGGCGUGCGGAACUGUGGGUGGAGCGGUGAAAUGCGUUGAUAUCCACAGGAACUCCGGUGGCGAAGGCGGCACGCUGGACCCCACCUGACGCUGAGGAGCGAAAGCCAGGGGAGCAAACGGG